RNAcentral lists this ribosomal RNA (450 nucleotides) under uncultured bacterium. Its description in RNAcentral is "partial 16S ribosomal RNA". It matches the Rfam family "Bacterial small subunit ribosomal RNA", at positions 354 to 796 of the family's 1533-position model. The record is from RNAcentral.
GUGGGGAAUUUUGGACAAUGGGGGCAACCCUGAUCCAGCCAUGCCGCGUGUCUGAAGAAGGCCUUCGGGUUGUAAAGGACUUUUGUUAGGGAGCAAGUCCUGCAGGUUAAGAGCUAGUAGGGAUGAGAGUACCUAAAGAAUAAGCACCGGCUAACUACGUGCCAGCAGCCGCGGUAAUACGUAGGGUGCAAGCGUUAAUCGGAAUUACUGGGCGUAAAGGGUGCGCAGGCGGUAUUGUAAGCCAGAUGUGAAAUCCCCGGGCUCAACCUGGGAACUGCGUUUGGAACUGCAAUGCUAGAGUGUGUCAGAGGGGGGUGGAAUUCCACGUGUAGCAGUGAAAUGCGUAGAGAUGUGGAGGAACACCGAUGGCGAAGGCAGCCCCCUGGGAUAACACUGACGCUCAGGCACGAAAGCGUGGGGAGCAAACAGGAUUAGAUACCCGGGUAGUCC